AAGGACAUGUGGAGCGCUUAGAAGUGAGAAUGCCGGUGUGAGUAGCGAAAGACGGGUGAGAAUCCCGUCCACCGAUUGACUAAGGUUUCCAGAGGAAGGCUCGUCCGCUCUGGGUUAGUCGGGUCCUAAGCUGAGGCCGACAGGCGUAGGCGAUGGAUAACAGGUUGAUAUUCCUGUACCACCUAUAAUCGUUUUAAUCGAUGGGGGGACGCAGUAGGAUAGGCGAAGCGUGCGAUUGGAUUGCACGUCUAAGCAGUAAGGCUGAGUAUUAGGCAAAUCCGGUACUCGUUAAGGCUGAGCUGUGAUGGGGAGAAGACAUUGUGUCUUCGAGUCGUUGAUUUCACACUGCCGAGAAAAGCCUCUAGAUAGAAAAUAGGUGCCCGUACCGCAAACCGACACAGGUAGUCAAGAUGAGAAUUCUAAGGUGAGCGAGCGAACUCUCGUUAAGGAACUCGGCAAAAUGACCCCGUAACUUCGGGAGAAGGGGUGCUCUUUAGGGUUAACGCCCAGAAGAGCCGCAGUGAAUAGGCCCAAGCGACUGUUUAUCAAAAACACAGGUCUCUGCUAAACCGUAAGGUGAUGUAUAGGGGCUGACGCCUGCCCGGUGCUGGAAGGUUAAGAGGAGUGGUUAGCUUCUGCGAAGCUACGAAUCGAAGCCCCAGUAAACGGCGGCCGUAACUAUAACGGUCCUAAGGUAGCGAAAUUCCUUGUCGGGUAAGUUCCGACCCGCACGAAAGGCGUAACGAUUUGGGCACUGUCUCAACGAGAGACUCGGUGAAAUCAUAGUACCUGUGAAGAUGCAGGUUACCCGCGACAGGACGGAAAGACCCCGUGGAGCUUUACUGUAGCCUGAUAUUGAAAUUCGGCACAGCUUGUACAGGAUAGGUAGGAGCCUUUGAAACGUGAGCGCUAGCUUACGUGGAGGCGCUGGUGGGAUACUACCCUAGCUGUGUUGGCUUUCUAACCCGCACCACUUAUCGUGGUGGGAGACAGUGUCAGGCGGGCAGUUUGACUGGGGCGGUCGCCUCCUAAAAGGUAACGGAGGCGCUCAAAGGUUCCCUCAGAAUGGUUGGAAAUCAUUCAUAGAGUGUAAAGGCAUAAGGGAGCUUGACUGCGAGACCUACAAGUCGAGCAGGGUCGAAAGACGGACUUAGUGAUCCGGUGGUUCCGCAUGGAAGGGCCAUCGCUCAACGGAUAAAAGCUACCCCGGGGAUAACAGGCUUAUCUCCCCCAAGAGUUCACAUCGACGGGGAGGUUUGGCACCUCGAUGUCGGCUCAUCGCAUCCUGGGGCUGUAGUCGGUCCCAAGGGUUGGGCUGUUCGCCCAUUAAAGCGGUACGCGAGCUGGGUUCAGAACGUCGUGAGACAGUUCGGUCCCUAUCCGUCGUGGGCGUAGGAAAUUUGAGAGGAGCUGUCCUUAGUACGAGAGGACCGGGAUGGACAUACCUCUGGUGUACCAGUUGUCGUGCCAACGGCAUAGCUGGGUAGCUAUGUGUGGACGGGAUAAGUGCUGAAAGCAUCUAAGCAUGAAGCCCCCCUCAAGAUGAGAUUUCCCAACUUCGGUUAUAAGAUCCCUCAAAGAUGAUGAGGUUAAUAGGUUCGAGGUGGAAGCAUGGUGACAUGUGGAGCUGACGAAUACUAAUCGAUCGAAGACUUAAUCAA
This 1661-nucleotide ribosomal RNA is filed under the name Staphylococcus aureus. RNAcentral describes it as "bacterial LSU rRNA". It matches the Rfam family "Bacterial large subunit ribosomal RNA", at positions 1265 to 2925 of the family's 2925-position model. Lineage: Bacteria; Bacillati; Bacillota; Bacilli; Caryophanales; Staphylococcaceae. The record is from RNAcentral.